CUACGUGCCAGCAGCCGCGGUAAUACGUAGGGUGCGGGCGUUAAUCGGAAUUACUGGGCGUAAAGCGAGCGCAGACGGUUACUUAAGCAGGAUGUGAAAUCCCCGGGCUCAACCUGGGAACUGCGUUCUGAACUGGGUGACUAGAGUGUGUCAGAGGGAGGUAGAAUUCCACGUGUAGCAGUGAAAUGCGUAGAGAUGUGGAGGAAUACCGAUGGCGAAGGCAGCCUCCUGGGAUAACACUGACGUUCAUGCUCGAAAGCGUGGGUAGCAAACAGGAUUAGAUACCCUGGUAGUCCACGCCCUAAACGAUGUCAAUUAGCUGUUGGGCAACUUGAUUGCUUAGUAGCGUAGCUAACGCGUGAAAUUGACCGCCUGGGGAGUACGGUCGCAAGAUUAAAACUCAAAGGAAUUGACGGGGACCCGCACAAGCGGUGGAUGAUGUGGAUUAAUUCGAUGCAACGCGAAGAACCUUACCUGGUCUUGACAU
RNAcentral lists this ribosomal RNA (487 nucleotides) under uncultured bacterium. RNAcentral describes it as "bacterial SSU rRNA". It matches the Rfam family "Bacterial small subunit ribosomal RNA", at positions 501 to 987 of the family's 1533-position model. The record is from RNAcentral.